AUGGCGGCUGCAGCUCCUCAGAGGGAGCGGAGGGGCAGCGCUGAGCUCUGCUCUCUGGGGACAGCGACGGGGCCCGAGGGAACGGCAUGGAGCUGUGUCAGGGGAGGGGCAGCUGGGGGUCAGGGAAGGUUUUGCACCAGAGGGCAGUGGGCAUGGAGCAGGCUGCCCAGGGCAGUGGGCACAGCACUGAGCUGCCAAGUUCAAGCAGCAUUUGGACACCGCUCUCAGAUGCAGGGGUUGAAUAUUGGUGGUGCUGUGUGGAGCCAGGAGUUGGACUUAAUGAUCCUUGUGUGUUCCUUCCAAAUUGGGAUAUCCUAUGGUUCUAUGAUUCUAAAUGUGAGGCCAGUCCAAAAAGUGUUGUUCUCUGUCUGGCGCCCAACACACUGGAGCUGUUCAGGAAACUGUCCUGGAUGUGCAUCGAUAGGCAUCAAGAAAUGGACAGCUCAUCAGGCUGCAGGUUUGUGAAUUUAAAAAAAAAAAAGCAAGAGAAAGGACUGAGGUAGACAUACUAUUCUCAGAAUAAUACCUGGUGUUAGCAUAAAGUGUUAAAUGACUUGAGCAAAGUGGCAGAAUCUGGCCAGAGAGAGGGAAUCUGGGUUCAUUGAUCUAUGUAGAGGCAAGUUCAUGCACAGUCAGGGCCCGCAUUUCCACAGUGAUGUUCAGUAUGCUUCAGCUCAUUGCUAGCAGGGCAAGGACAACAAACAAAGCCCUGAAAAUCCUGAGGUGUGUAACAGAGCUAUCUCACCUGCCUUUCAUCAGAGCCUGGCUGCUGGGACGCUGUUAUAUAACAGCAGUGGCAUCAACGGCAUCCCCAGCUUCAUGUCUUUGAAUUAAGUAUGUGUAAUGACAUAUCACUGCAGCAAGGCUUGAAUGAUACGAGGCAUGUGAUAACCUCCUGCCCAGCACCUAUUCUAUCGAGGCAGCACUGGCUGCACUGCAUGCUUGCUGCAAUGCCAUCCAUGUGCUCUCAGAAACAAUAAUCAGGGCCGUUAGGACCAGAAAAGCCUGCCACAGCCAGCAGUGACAAAAUCACAGAAUAGAAUUAGCAUACUUUUAUCCUAUUUUUGAAAAUUUCUUCCCUUUUUUCAUUUUUUUUUCCUUUCCCCAUUCCCUACUCCUCAGCAGCCUGUGCGUUUUCAUCUUCCAGCCGGCUGUAGCGAUCCUCUGGGAAAGAGAAUCUUUCCACACACACAGCACCUGCUUCCCUCUCCUCUGCAACAAAUAAAUACCCUCAAGCCCUUUAGAAUUCUUCA
This 1253-nucleotide long non-coding RNA is filed under the name Numida meleagris (helmeted guineafowl). Its description in RNAcentral is "lncRNA (ENSNMEG00000005407.1)". The record is from RNAcentral. Lineage: Eukaryota; Metazoa; Chordata; Aves; Galliformes; Numididae.